Molecule: ribosomal RNA, 492 nt
Filed under: uncultured bacterium
Lineage: Bacteria
Description: partial 16S ribosomal RNA
Rfam family: Bacterial small subunit ribosomal RNA
Source: RNAcentral
AUUGAACGCUGGCGGCAUGCUUUACACAUGCAAGUCGAACGGUAACAGGCCUUCGGGUGCUGACGAGUGGCGAACGGGGGAGUAAUGCAUCGGAACGUGCCCAGUGGUGGGGGGUAACGCAGCGAAAGCUGUGCUAAUACCGCAUGUGAUCUGAGGUUGAAAGCGGGGGACCAAGCAGCAAUGUUUGGCCUCGCGCCUCUGGAGCGGCCGAUGUCAGAUUAGGUAGUUGGUGGGGUAAAGGCCUACCAAGCCGACGAUCUGUAGCUGGUCUGAGAGGACGAACAGCCACACUGGGACUGAGACACGGCCCAGACUCCUACGGGAGGCAGCAGUGGGGAAUUUUGGACAAUGGGCGCAAGCCUGAUCCAGCAAUGCCGCGUGCGGGAAGAAGGCCUUCGGGUUGUAAACCGCUUUUGUACGGAACGAAAAGGCUCUGGCUAAUACCUGGGGCUGAUGACGGUACCGGAAGAAUAAGCACCGGCUAACUACGUG